AUGGAUCCAGCAGAUUGUAUUGCUGUCCGUUUUCAUUUCAAUGGGGAAUUUAUCAAUGACGGGAAGACAGUACAAUAUGUGGGGGGCAAAGAAGCAAUGUCCUUUUUAGAUCGAGCAAUCUUGAGCUUACAGAGAAUUCAACAAUGUUUGAGUGAGCAUUAUGUCACAGUGGACGGACAACAAUUGCACUGGCUCUUCCCUGGGAAGGAUUUAUUUGAUGGGUUGUUGAUGCUGUCUGAGGACAAGUCUGUUGAAACACUGUCAGCAUGUACAACAGAUGCAGGUGUGGCUGAUGUGUAUGUCGAGGAUCCAGCCAUGCAAGAUGAAGAAGUUAGUGAGGAAGAAGAUUGGGCUGAAGACGAGUAUGUAGCUACUGCUGAUGAGAAGAAGUCCGCAAAGGAAAAGCCAAUUGAUGUAGAAAGCAGCUCCGAUGAUAGUGACUUUGUGCCACCAGAUUGUUCAUCAGAUGACGAUGAGGCAGAUGCUAUUAGGCAAGAUUACAAGAAAUUCAAAAAGAGCAAGAAGAUGGCAGCUGAAAAACUUGCACUUGAGUAUGAGUUUGAAGCAUUGAAUGUAGUUAAACCUGAAGGCAAUUAUGAAGAUGACUCAAGUGCCGAAGAGGAUGAAUCUUAUGACGAGGAUAGUGAUGGUGAACUUAUCAAGCGUGAGUCUGAAUAUGCUAGGUUUAAUAGUAAAGCAGAAGUGAUCAAGUUCACCUUGGGUAUGACAUUUAGUGGGAAGAAGGAGUUCAAAGAUGCAAUCAUUCGUUAUGCACUGAAGGAAAGAAAAGAAAUCAAGUUCUUAAAAGAUGAGGGAGUCAGAGUAAGGGCAAAGUGCACAUGGCCUCAUUGUCCUUGGGUGUGUUUGUUGAGGAAAACAUCAAAGUUUGAAAGUUGGCAGAUUACUUCAUUUACUGAGGAACACACUUGUCCAAAAAGGAAAGAUAGUGCACUAGUUACAAGUAGACGGAUUGCAGAAAAGUUUGAGAGUUCGAUAAUGUCAAGUCCAGAAUGGUCAAUCCAGCAAUUAAAGUCAACCAUACAGGAAAAAAUGUUUGCAAAUGUGUCAAUAUCCAAAAUCAAGAGAGCAAAAGCACUUGUCAUUGGAAAAAUGCUUGCGGCUAAAGAGGGAGAGUACAACCAAGUGUUUGAUUACCAACUUGAGUUACUUAGAAGCAACCCUGGGACUACUUGUGUGGUCAAGCUUCACCCAGAUUUUGAAGAACCAACAUUCCACCACUUUUAUGUGUGCUUUGAUGCUUGUAAGAAGGGCUUCUUUGCAAAAAGGAAUAUUGAAUGUUGUUCACCACUGGGCUCCAAUGGCAGAGCAUAG
RNAcentral lists this ribosomal RNA (1332 nucleotides) under Triticum aestivum (bread wheat). RNAcentral describes it as "partial small subunit ribosomal RNA". The record is from RNAcentral. Lineage: Eukaryota; Viridiplantae; Streptophyta; Magnoliopsida; Poales; Poaceae.